Molecule: ribosomal RNA, 253 nt
Filed under: uncultured bacterium
Lineage: Bacteria
Description: partial 16S ribosomal RNA
Rfam family: Bacterial small subunit ribosomal RNA
Source: RNAcentral
GACAGAGGUGCCAAGCGUUAGGCGGAACCACUGGGCUUAAAGCGUGUGUAGGCGGGCGAUCAAGUACCUUGUGAAAUCCCACGGCUCAACCGUGGAACUGCUGGGUAUACUGGUUGUCUUGAGCCAGCUAGGGGCGAGCGGAACAGACGGUGGAGCGGUGAAAUGCGUAGAUAUGACAUAGAACACCUAUUGCGAAGGCAGCUUACUACGCAUAUAUUGACGCUGAGGCACGAAAGCGUGGGGAUCAAACAGG